AUACUUCCGAAAAACAACAGCAAAGAGAGGAGAUGCAGGUGGUUUGGAGUUAAGAUGAAGGUAGAAUCGAAGGGUCCAAAAUGAAGGGGAUAACGUUGGUAUACUGACUGGGAUUGAUGCUAUCUGUUUUACACACAAAAUUUGAGAUUUGUUUUGAAGGUUUUGAUUGGUAAGUUGAUUUAUUCUUUUUCUUCUCUCUUGUGCUACAACUUCUGGGUUAUUUGAGCAUAUUACACAUUUUUUUUCUUUUUUUUCUUUUUGUUAAAGAUUUUUAGGACUCUUUGAUAAACUCUUUGUAGAAUUCUACUUUGUUGGUUCUUGAUAGAUAAAUAGAUAUUGUAUCUAUUUUUAGAGUUUUAUUUUUCUAUACAUACUUGUGUCUGAUUAGAUUCCUUAGUUUUCUUAUUUUAUUUUAUUUUGUUGGAAUUUUUUUAUUUUUUUGGUGUGUGUGGGGCUAUAUGCUUAUUUUAAUGAAGAACAAAAAUAGGGACAAAGUCUCACUCAAAUGGAUUGCGAGUCUAUGCAUUUUUCACCUUUGCACUUGGCUUUACUUUUCUUUUUUUCCUUCAAUUUUUCAUUUAUCUUAUGUUUUUUUCUUUGUAUUUCACAGCUUCGAGGAGAAUCUUUGUUUUUAGCUUCUUUAUUUCAAUUGAAGAAUUUUGCGGUUACCGUGACUUCAGAAGAACUUUUUUCCCUCGUUGAAGAAAUAGCUUGUUGCUGUUGAUCAGUUAUAUGGACUUAAUUAUCAAGUUACUCUGGAUAUUCUUUAAGCAUGUUAUAAUGUUAUAAGUAAACUAAAUUACCUAAAUUACUCUCAUCCUCUUGUGAUCGAUUCUCGUGCUUUAACAAGUGAUAGUUGUCCUAUGAUGUGAAUAGCUUGAAACGGCUUCACUAUGUAUGGUUCCAUUUACCUUCUAUUUCCAUAGUUAUUUUUUUCCUCGAUAAUCUAUUAUUAAUAUAACAAGAACUUCUAAAAUUGGAAGGAAAUUAUUGUGAAG
This 998-nucleotide long non-coding RNA is filed under the name Olea europaea subsp. europaea. Lineage: Eukaryota; Viridiplantae; Streptophyta; Magnoliopsida; Lamiales; Oleaceae. The record is from RNAcentral.